ACGUUAUUCGGAAUCACUGGGCUUAAAGCGCGUGUAGGCGGGUCGAUGCGUCGGUCGCUGAAAUCCCCCGGCUCAACCGGGGAACGGGCGCCGAAACGAUCGGCCUGGAGGGGAGUAGGGGGACCUGGAACUUCCGGUGGAGCGGUGAAAUGCGUUGAGAUCGGAAGGAACGCCCGUGGCGAAAGCGAGGUCCUGGACUCUUUCUGACGCUGAGACGCGAAAGCCA
This 226-nucleotide ribosomal RNA is filed under the name uncultured bacterium. Its description in RNAcentral is "partial 16S ribosomal RNA". It matches the Rfam family "Bacterial small subunit ribosomal RNA", at positions 538 to 762 of the family's 1533-position model. The record is from RNAcentral.